Molecule: ribosomal RNA, 492 nt
Filed under: uncultured bacterium
Lineage: Bacteria
Description: bacterial SSU rRNA
Rfam family: Bacterial small subunit ribosomal RNA
Source: RNAcentral
AACGAACGCUGGCGGCGCGCCUAAUACAUGCAAGUCGAGCGAGAAGGUGUAGCAAUACACUUGUAAAGCGGCGAACGGGUGAGGAAUACAUGGGUAAUCUACCAUCGAGUGGGGAAUAACCAACCGAAAGGUUGGCUAAUACCGCGUACGCCUCCGGGUCUUCGGGUUCGGAGGGAAAGCUGCACUGUGAGUGUAGCGCUCUUUGAUGAGCUCAUGUCCUAUCAGCUUGUUGGUAGGGUAACGGCCUACCAAGGCUUUGACGGGUAGCUGGUCUGAGAGGACGAUCAGCCACACUGGCACUGCGACACGGGCCAGACUCCUACGGGAGGCAGCAGUAAGGAAUAUUGCGCAAUGGGCGAAAGCCUGACGCAGCGACGCCGCGUGGGGGAUGAAGGUCUUCGGAUUGUAAACCCCUUUCGGGAGGGAAGAUGGAGCGAGCAAUCGUUCGGACGGUACCUCCAGAAGCAGCCACGGCCAACUUCGUGCCAGCAG